Small nucleolar RNA from Gossypium raimondii (Peruvian cotton), 106 nucleotides. It matches the Rfam family "Plant small nucleolar RNA R71". From Rfam's summary of the family: R71 is a member of the C/D box family of snoRNAs containing the C (UGAUGA) and D (CUGA) box motifs. The record is from Rfam. Lineage: Eukaryota; Viridiplantae; Streptophyta; Magnoliopsida; Malvales; Malvaceae.
AAUUCAUUGUACGGGCAUUUUUAAAUCAACAUUUUGAAGCAUUCCCACACCUCAUAGAAGUUUUUUCCUUCCAUCUAUCUAAAGAUAGCAAUCUCUCUUCUUAAUU